GACGAACGCUGGCGGCGUGCUUAACACAUGCAAGUCGAACGGAAAGGCCCCUUUGGGGGUACUCGAGUGGCGAACGGGUGAGUAACACGUGAGUAACCUGCCCUUGCCUUCGGGAUAACUUCAGGAAACUGGGGCUAAUACCGGAUAGGCAUCCUUGCUGCAUGGUGGGGGUUGGAAAGCUUCGGCGGUUUUGGAUGGACUCGCGGCUUAUCAGCUUGUUGGUGGGGUAGUGGCUUACCAAGGCUUUGACGGGUAGCCGGCCUGAGAGGGCGACCGGCCACAUUGGGACUGAGAUACGGCCCAGACUCCUACGGGAGGCAGCAGUGGGGAAUAUUGCACAAUGGGCGGAAGCCUGAUGCAGCAACGCCGCGUGCGGGAUGACGGCCUUCGGGUUGUAAACCGCUUUCAGCAGGGGCGAAGCUUGUGGUGACGGUACCUGCAGAAGAAGCACCGGCUAACUACGUG
This 465-nucleotide ribosomal RNA is filed under the name uncultured bacterium. RNAcentral's name for it is "partial 16S ribosomal RNA". It matches the Rfam family "Bacterial small subunit ribosomal RNA", at positions 28 to 507 of the family's 1533-position model. The record is from RNAcentral.